This 166-nucleotide ribosomal RNA is filed under the name Blastocystis sp. Its description in RNAcentral is "partial 18S ribosomal RNA". It matches the Rfam family "Eukaryotic small subunit ribosomal RNA", at positions 183 to 348 of the family's 1831-position model. The record is from RNAcentral. Lineage: Eukaryota; Bigyra; Opalinata; Blastocystidae.
CUGGAAAUGUAUAAAGUCUUGUAGACUGCAUUUAUUAGAAUGAAAACCAUAGGUUUCGGCCUAUUCGUGAGUAAUAAUAACUAAUCAUAUCGUAUGCUUAUGUAACGAUGUGUCUUUCAAGUUUCUGCCCUAUCAGCUUUCGAUGGUAGUGUAUUGGACUACCAUG